AGUGAACGCUGGCGGUAGGCCUAACACAUGCAAGUCGAACGGCAGCACAGUAAGAGCUUGCUCUUACGGGUGGCGAGUGGCGGACGGGUGAGGAAUACAUCGGAAUCUACUUUUUCGUGGGGGAUAACGUAGGGAAACUUACGCUAAUACCGCAUACGACCUACGGGUGAAAGCAGGGGAUCUUCGGACCUUGCGCGAUUGAAUGAGCCGAUGUCGGAUUAGUUAGUUGGCGGGGUAAAGGCCCACCAAGGCGACGAUCCUUAGCUGGUCUGAGAGGAUGAUAGGCCAAAUUGGAAUGGGGAAACGGUCAAGACUCCUAGGGAAGGAAGAAGUGGGGAAUAUUGGAAAAGGGGGGAAAGCCUGAUCCAGCAAGACGGGGGGGGUGAAGAAGGCCUUCGGGUUGUAAAGACCUUUUGUGGGGAAAGAAAAGAAGCAGGUUAAUACACCGCUGUUCUGACGGUACCCAAAGAAUAAGCACCGGCUAACUUCGU
Molecule: ribosomal RNA, 491 nt
Filed under: uncultured bacterium
Lineage: Bacteria
Description: partial 16S ribosomal RNA
Rfam family: Bacterial small subunit ribosomal RNA
Source: RNAcentral